Molecule: transfer RNA, 68 nt
Filed under: Marmota monax (woodchuck)
Lineage: Eukaryota; Metazoa; Chordata; Mammalia; Rodentia; Sciuridae
Description: tRNA.Ala
Source: RNAcentral
GGACUAUAGCUCAGUUGGUAGAGUGCUUGCCUUGCAUGCACAGGCCCUGGGUUCAAUCCUCAGCACCA